UACGUAGGGUGCGAGCGUUGUCCGGAAUUAUUGGGCGUAAAGAGCUUGUAGGCGGUUUGUCGCGUCUGCCGUGAAAGCCCAGGGCUUAACCCUGGGUCUGCGGUGGGUACGGGCAGACUAGAGUGUGGUAGGGGAGACUGGAAUUCCUGGUGUAGCGGUGGAAUGCGCAGAUAUCAGGAGGAACACCGAUGGCGAAGGCAGGUCUCUGGGCCACUACUGACGCUGAGAAGCGAAAGCAUGGGGAGCGAACAGG
This 253-nucleotide ribosomal RNA is filed under the name uncultured bacterium. Its description in RNAcentral is "partial 16S ribosomal RNA". It matches the Rfam family "Bacterial small subunit ribosomal RNA", at positions 524 to 776 of the family's 1533-position model. The record is from RNAcentral.